RNAcentral lists this ribosomal RNA (492 nucleotides) under uncultured bacterium. Its description in RNAcentral is "partial 16S ribosomal RNA". It matches the Rfam family "Bacterial small subunit ribosomal RNA", at positions 29 to 507 of the family's 1533-position model. The record is from RNAcentral.
AGUGAACGCUGGCGGUAGGCCUAGCACAUGCAAGUCGAACGGCAGCACAGUAAGAACUUGCUCUUACGGGUGGCGAGUGGCGGACGGGUGAGGAAUACAUCGGAAUCUACUUUUUCGGGGGGGAUAACGUAGGGAAACUUACGCUAAUACCGCAUACGACCUACGGGUGAAAGCAGGGGAUCUUCGGACCUUGCGCGAUUGAAUGAGCCGAUGUCGGAUUAGCUAGUUGGCGGGGUAAAGGCCCACCAAGGCGACGAUCCGUAGCUGGUCUGAGAGGAUGAUCAGCCACACUGGAACUGAGACACGGUCCAGACUCCUACGGGAGGCAGCAGUGGGGAAUAUUGGACAAUGGGCGCAAGCCUGAUCCAGCCAUACCGCGUGGAUGAAGAAGGCCUUCGGGUUGUAAAGCCCUUUUGUUGGGAAAGAAAAGCAGCAGGUUAAUACCCCGCUGUUCUGACGGUACCCAAAGAAUAAGCACCGGCUAACUUCGUG